GCCACUGUGGCUCAGUGGUUAGAGCGUUGGCCUGAGCACCAAAGGGUCGCGGGUUUGACUCCUGAUCGAGGGCA
Molecule: transfer RNA, 74 nt
Filed under: Myotis davidii
Lineage: Eukaryota; Metazoa; Chordata; Mammalia; Chiroptera; Vespertilionidae
Rfam family: tRNA
About the family: Transfer RNA (tRNA) molecules are approximately 80 nucleotides in length. Their secondary structure includes four short double-helical elements and three loops (D, anti-codon, and T loops). Further hydrogen bonds mediate the characteristic L-shaped molecular structure. tRNAs have two regions of fundamental functional importance: the anti-codon, which is responsible for specific mRNA codon recognition, and the 3' end, to which the tRNAs corresponding amino acid is attached (by aminoacyl-tRNA synthetases). tRNAs cope with the degeneracy of the genetic code in two manners: having more than one tRNA (with a specific anti-codon) for a particular amino acid; and 'wobble' base-pairing, i.e. permitting non-standard base-pairing at the 3rd anti-codon position.
Source: Rfam by way of RNAcentral